AAAGAAUUAGUUAAAAAAUAACAUAAAUAUGUCAAAUUCAAAUUAUUAUAUUAUAUAAUAUUCUUUU
RNAcentral lists this transfer RNA (67 nucleotides) under Coleophora therinella. RNAcentral describes it as "tRNA-Asp". The record is from RNAcentral. Lineage: Eukaryota; Metazoa; Arthropoda; Insecta; Lepidoptera; Coleophoridae.